This is a non-coding RNA of Mycena vulgaris, 94 nucleotides long. The record is from the annotation of a GenBank genome assembly. NCBI's taxonomy places the organism in Eukaryota, Fungi, Basidiomycota, Agaricomycetes, Agaricales, Mycenaceae.
UCAGACAUGGUGUAAUGGGAACACAGCCUUUGCUUAUAAUUGAGAUCCAUCCACCAUUCAGAGGUAGUUCAGGGUUCGAAUCCCUGUGUCUGAA